AGAAGGUAAUAAUCCUGUAGUCGAAAACGAAUUCUCUCUUGAGUGGAUCCUGAGUACGACGGAGCACGUGAAAUUCCGUCGGAAUCUGGGAGGACCAUCUCCUAAGGCUAAAUACUCUCUAGUGACCGAUAGUGAACCAGUACCGUGAGGGAAAGGUGAAAAGUACCCCGGAAGGGGAGUGAAAGAGAACUUGAAACCGUGUGCUUACAAGUAGUCAGAGCCCGUUAAUGGGUGAUGGCGUGCCUUUUGUAGAAUGAACCGGCGAGUUACGAUCUGAUGCAAGGUUAAGCAGAAAAUGUGGAGCCGUAGCGAAAGCGAGUCUGAAUAGGGCGAAUGAGUAUUUGGUCGUAGACCCGAAACCAGGUGAUCUACCCUUGGUCAGGUUGAAGUUCAGGUAACACUGAAUGGAGGACCGAACCGACUUACGUUGAAAAGUGAGCGGAUGAACUGAGGGUAGCGGAGAAAUUCCAAUCGAACUUGGAGAUAGCUGGUUCUCUCCGAAAUAGCUUUAGGGCUAGCCUCAAGUGAUGAUUAUUGGAGGUAGAGCACUGUUUGGACGAGGGGCCCCUCUCGGGUUACCGAAUUCAGACAAACUCCGAAUGCCAAAUAAUUUAACUUGGGAGUCAGAAUGUGGGUGAUAAGGUCCAUAUUCGAAAGGGAAACAGCCCAGACCACCAGCUAAGGUCCCAAAAUAUAUGUUAAGUGGAAAAGGAUGUGGCGUUGCCCAGACAACUAGGAUGUUGGCUUAGAAGCAGCCAUCAUUUAAAGAGUGCGUAAUAGCUCACUAGUCGAGUGACACUGCGCCGAAAAUGUACCGGGGCUAAACAUAUUACCGAAGCUGUGGAUUGUCCUUUGGACAAUGGUAGGAGAGCGUUCUAAGGGCGUUGAAGCAUGAUCGCAAGGACAUGUGGAGCGCUUAGAAGUGAGAAUGCCGGUGUGAGUAGCGAAAGACGGGUGAGAAUCCCGUCCACCGAUUGACUAAGGUUUCCAGAGGAAGGCUCGUCCGCUCUGGGUUAGUCGGGUCCUAAGCUGAGGCCGACAGGCGUAGGCGAUGGAUAACAGGUUGAUAUUCCUGUACCACCAUUAUUCGUUUUAAGCGAUGGGGGGACGCAGUAGGAUAGGCGAAGCGUGCUGUUGGAGUGCACGUCCAAGCAGUGAGAUUGA
RNAcentral lists this ribosomal RNA (1164 nucleotides) under Staphylococcus pseudintermedius. Its description in RNAcentral is "partial 23S ribosomal RNA". It matches the Rfam family "Bacterial large subunit ribosomal RNA", at positions 359 to 1528 of the family's 2925-position model. Lineage: Bacteria; Bacillati; Bacillota; Bacilli; Caryophanales; Staphylococcaceae. The record is from RNAcentral.